RNAcentral lists this long non-coding RNA (3088 nucleotides) under Mytilus galloprovincialis (Mediterranean mussel). Lineage: Eukaryota; Metazoa; Mollusca; Bivalvia; Mytilida; Mytilidae. The record is from RNAcentral.
AUUUUAUAAUUGAUAAAGGAUGUCAGUAUCUAAAAUCUAUACUUCAAGACCAUCCUGUAUUAUUAUUGAAGUUUAUACUGAAUAUUUAUCAAUGAAGGUCUUGGUAUCUUCCAUGGAUUUUUUUUCACAAACAGGAAGAGCCAUUUUUUGACAUAAACCAGGUUCCUAAUCUUUCUGCUAAAACCAAAAUAAUAACAUUGUUUUGUGUUGCACUAUCACUUGAUAUAACUUAUCAAGGUUGUAUAAUGUGUUCUCACCCUUCUGAAGCACCUGAGAUAAUCCUUAGUAAUUGGCAGGGUUGGUUGCUCAGUCUUUUGUUUUCUAUGUUGUGUUUUGUGUACUGUUGUUUUGCAUGAAAGAAAAGUUGUCAUAUCAUAUAAAAACAGUUUUGAAUAAAAUGUGGUGAACUGUUGUUUUGAAUUAAAGAAAAGUUGUCAUAUCAUAUAAAAACAGUUUUGAAUAAAAUGUGGUGAACCAUGCAUCAUUAUUUCAUCAAUAUUUAAACACAUAAAAAGACAUAAUAAACAUAAUAUUCAUUUUUAUUUCCUAAUAUUUAGUUAUUAUAAUAUAUCAAAACAAAGAAAGAAUGAACAACAACUAUAUAUUAACAUCAAAUAUACAGAAACAAAAAAUCAAGCAUAUCACAUUUACCCUGAAUGUUAGGAAUUCAUCACUUUUCCCCCAUCAUUCCACAUUUCUCUGUAUCAUGCAAUCACAUAAAUAUUCCACUUUUAUAACUGAGACAAUGAAAAAUUGAUGUAAAGAAGUAUAAAAUAAAUAAGUAUAGCAGCCAUCUUUUUCUUAUAAUUUAGAAAUAUAAACAUGAUAAAGAAAUACAUUUCAGCAUAAAAAGAAAUCCAUAAAUUUAAACUACUUUCCUCAGCAGUUUACCAUAACCUAGAAGUAAUGCACUAUCUGCAUUUUAAAAUGUAUCAAAACUUACUGAAUUUAGAAUAAAUUUUUAAUAAUGAAUGAAAAUAAUGUCAUCAAAGAAAAUAAUUUUUGAAAUAUCAAAAUUAUAUUUUACUAUUAAAAUACAAAUAGUAAAUAAGCAUUAGGAUAUUUUUUGUACUUGGUCAUUUUUUAACUGAAAAAUUCUAAAAAAAAUCGUCAUAUAAUAGAUUAUUAUAAAUCCCUAAAAAAUAUUUGAUCUUUAUCAAAAAUUUGUAAAAUAUAAAAAAAAUGGAAAGUAAUAAUACUUUCAUGACUUAAUAUUUUUUACAAUGAUAUAACCUAGUAAGACUACUGCUGAAUGGAGAUGCUAGGUUAUGAAGUAGUUUGUGAUUGUGAAUACUAUCAUAGAAAAUAACCUGUGGUGUCAAAAUCUAUUUCACAGAGUAAAUGUUAUAAUACAGAAAACGGACAACAAUAGUGUGUUAAAAAUAAAUAAGUUUUCAUCUAUUUCAUAGUAUUACAGUUAAAUAAUAUUCUAUACUGUUCUUGUUUAAUAGUAUAUGCCAGAAUCAUACAUUUUUUAAAUGUAUUUAUUUUCACCAUUUCUGAAACAACAAAUUUGAUUUCAAAUUUCAAAACUCAGGGCAAGAAAAAUGACAAUAAUGCCUUAUUACACUUGCAAUGGUGUUAUGAUAAAGGUCACAAUGUAUAAAAUGUUACUUCUUUAUAUUGGAUGGGAGAUACAUUGGAAGUCAAUAAUAUUUUGUCAAAUAAGUCAUUUAGAGAUUUAAAUAUGCAGAUUGAGGAUUGGAAUGCUAUUUAUUCCAUGCCCUUCAUUAUAAUAACUAAAACUCUUUUUUGCAAAACUUUCAAUUUAAGAUUGUUCAUAGGAUUCUACCAUGUAAUUCAUUUUUAUUGAAAUGUAAAUUAAAAGAAACUGAACUUUGUACUUUUUGUUCAGAGUUUUAAGAAAAUAUUUUUCACAUUUUUGGGGAAUGUAAUGUAUCACAAAACUUCUGGCUAUCCGUUAUAGAUUGGAUUAAACAUUAUGGCAUUCUCCUGCCUUUCAGUGCAAAAGAAGUCAUGUUAGGUGUGUCUGAGGAUUUUGUUAACAGUAAAACAGUUAACAAUAUUUUGUUGUUAUUCAAAUAUUAUAUAUACAAAUGUAGAUGUAAGAACAUAUCCCCCACAAAAUAUGGUGGGGUAGAAUAUUUAAAAUAUUGGAUUAAUAUAGAAAAAUACUCUGUAUGUUUCUUAACCCCUGUACAAAAAGUAACAAGAGGCUCUCAAGAGCCUGAAUCGCUCACCUGGUAAACAAUGCCUUAUUGAACAUAUUGAACCAUGCCAGGCAAACAUGUACAGCUAACAAUUCUUCAAUAUUACGAAUAUAUAUGACUUACUGUUUAUAAAUAAAGAAAAUGAGACCAAAACACAAACACUUAAAACUUAGCAAUGGACUGUGAAAAUGAGGUCAAGUUCAAAUAAAACCUGCGUAACCAACAUAUAGAUCAUUAAAAUAUUUUCAUACACCAAAUAUAGUGACCUAAUGCAUAAAGUAUAAAAAAAUAGACCAAAACUAAAAAAGUUAACUUUGACCACUGAAUUAUGAAAAUGAGGUCAAGGUUAGAUGACACCUGUCAGCUAGAUAUGUACACCUUACAAUCAUUCUAUACACCAAUUUUAGUAGACCUAUUGCAUAUAGUAUAAGAAAAAGUUUAUCUUUAUCUAUAAUGAUAUUCAAGAUAAUGACCAAAAACUGCAAAAUUUCCUUAAAAUUACCAAUUAAAAGUGGCAGCAACCCAACAAUGGUUUGUUUGAUUCGUCUGAAAAUUUCAGGGCUGAUAGAUCUUGACCUAAUGAACAUUUUAACCCCAUGUCAGAUUUGCUCUAAAUGCUUUCGUUUUUGAGAUAUAAGCCAAAAACUGCAUUUGACCCCUAUGUUCUAUUAAGUAACGGCGGCCAUGUUUUUUGACGGAUGAAAAAUCGAAGCACACACUUUGGUGCAGGAUAAUCUAAGGAACAAAUGAUUUUAAGUUUCAUUCAAAAUCCAUUCAGUAGUUUCAGAGGAGAAGAUGUUUGAAAAAUUGUUAACGACGACGACGACGGACGCCAAGUGAUGAGAAAAGCUCACAUGGCCUUUUAGGCCAGGUGAGCUAAAAAUGGAUCAGAAAUGACAUAUGUUAGAAGCAGCUUU